This is a long non-coding RNA of Crotalus tigris (Tiger rattlesnake), 1043 nucleotides long. RefSeq lists it as uncharacterized. Lineage: Eukaryota; Metazoa; Chordata; Lepidosauria; Squamata; Viperidae. The record is from RefSeq and is a predicted model, not a curated record. The transcript has 6 exons.
GUAUUAUUCCUUUGGACUGCACAAUAGUUGGUUGAGUGACUUUGGGCCAUUAACCAAGAGAAUCUUAUUUUUAUUCCUACAAUAGGCAUUGAGACAGCUACAACUGCACAACUAGCAGAUCGGUGACUUCUUUCAGUAGGCAUGGUGAGUUUUACAGGUGCAAAAAAGAACAAGUGGUGGAUAAGUGACUGUAUAAAUCAAAAAGAGAGGUAUGGAAGGAGAUUUCCACUCCUGCACGGCUGGGAGAAUAGUUACUGGGUUAAUCAACAAAAUAAGUUUAAUGGGCAUAGUGAGUUCAAAAUGUGCAAAAAUAACAAGUGGUAGAUAAGUGAGUGAGUAAAUCCACAGAAGAAGGUGAAUGGUACUCUACAAUACUUAUGAAAGUAGGUUUGGAGAUAUCUAUUCCUGCAUGACUGGAAGAUCACUGACUGCAUUAAUCAAAAAAGAAGAUGAAUUCUGCUCUUGCAAUUCUCACAAUAAUCAGCAGCGUGACUUUGUACCAAUAACCAAGAUAUUCUUCUAUCUUUUAGUGCAGUAUGCAUGGUGAAUUCUAGAUGUUCAAAAAAAGGAAUGGUUGAUAUGUGACCAAGAAAACCAACUGGAGAAUUUUUUUUGUAUUUUACAAUACUCAUGAAAGAUCAGUGAUCACAAGGAAGAGGCAUGGUGAAUUCUACAAUUGCAAAAACCAUGAAUGGUGGAUAAGUGUCUGAAUAAAUCAGCAGGGGAAGGUGAGGAGUACUCUUCAAUAUGCAUGAAAGAUCAAAGUUUGCACCAUUGUUUGUUGAGUGACUUUGGGCCAAGAACCAAAAGAUUGUUACUUCUAUUGCUGCAAUAGGUAUGGUGAUUUCUAUUCCUGCAUAGCUGGUAGAUCAGUUAUUGUAAUAAUCAACAAAAGAAAGUGUGUCCUCCUCUUGCAAUAAAUACGAUAAUCAGCAGAGUUACUUUGGACCAAUAAUGAGAAAAGAGUGACUUCUGUACCUGCAAAAAUCAUUACUGGUGGAUAAGUGACUUAGUAAAGUAACAGGAGAAAGUGAGUAGCAAUC